This 271-nucleotide ribosomal RNA is filed under the name uncultured bacterium. Its description in RNAcentral is "partial 16S ribosomal RNA". It matches the Rfam family "Bacterial small subunit ribosomal RNA", at positions 524 to 794 of the family's 1533-position model. The record is from RNAcentral.
UACGUAGGGUGCAAGCGUUAAUCGGAAUUACUGGGCGUAAAGCGUGCGCAGGCGGUUUUGUAAGUCUGUCGUGAAAGCCCCGGGCUUAACCUGGGAACUGCGUUUGUAACUGGCAGACUGGAGUGUGGCAGAGGGGGGUGGAAUUCCAAGUGUAGCAGUGAAAUGCGUAGAUAUUUGGAGGAACACCGAUGGCGAAGGCAGCCCCCUGGGCUAACACUGACGCUCAUGCACGAAAGCGUGGGGAGCAAACAGGAUUAGAAACCCGAGUAGU